RNAcentral lists this ribosomal RNA (1075 nucleotides) under uncultured bacterium. Its description in RNAcentral is "bacterial SSU rRNA". It matches the Rfam family "Bacterial small subunit ribosomal RNA", at positions 58 to 1121 of the family's 1533-position model. The record is from RNAcentral.
CAAGGCGAGCGGCAAGCUAUGUGCCCACACGCAGCCAAGAGCGGCGGACGGGAGAGAAACACGGGGGCGACCCACCAAAAAGGGGGGAACAGCCGAAAGAAAGAGCGGGAAACACCGAAGGCGCAAACAGGAAGAAAGCCGAGAAAGGAAAGGAGCCACGGCCCCGCUUUUAGAUGGGCCCGCCCCCCAUUAGCUAGUUGGUGGAGUAAAAGCCUACCAAGGCGAUGAUGGGUAGCCGGCCUGAGAGGGUGAACGGCCACACUGGGACUGAGAUACCGCCCACACUCCUACGGGAGGCAGCAGCUAAAAAUAUUCCGCAAUGGACGAAAGUCUGACGGAGCGACGCCGCGUGGAUGAUGAAGGCCGGAAGGUUGUAAAAUCCUUUUGUCAACAAAGAAUAAGCGGAGGAGGGAAUGCCUUCGUGAUGACGUUAGUUGACGAAUAAGCCCCGGCUAAUUACGUGCCAGCAGCCGCGGUAACACGUAAGGGGCGAGCGUUGUUCGGAAUUAUUGGGCGUAAAGGGCGCGUAGGCGGUUUUGCCAGCCUGAUGUGAAAGCCUGGGGCUUAACCCUGGAAUUGCAUUGGGAACUGCAAGACUUGAAUCAUGGGAGGGAAAUCAGAAUUCCAGGUGUAGGGGUGAAAUCUGUAGAUAUCUGGAAGAAUACCGGUGGCGAAGGCGGAUUUCUGGCCAAUGAUCGACGCUGAGGCGCGAAAGUGCGGGGAGCAAACAGGAUUAGAUACCCUGGUAGUCCGCACUAUAAACGAUGUACACUAGGUGUUGGGCCGAGUGGCUCAGUGCCGAAGCUAACGUGAUAAGUGUACCGCCUGGGGAGUAUGCCCGCAAGGGUGAAACUCAAAGGAAUUGACGGGGGCCCGCACAAGCGGUGGAGCAUGUGGUUUAAUUCGAUGCUCCGCGAAGAACCUUACCUGGGUUUGACAUAACAGUGGUAGAGAAGUGAAAACGGAUCGACCCUUCGGGGAGCUGUUACAGGUGUUGCAUGCCUGUCGUCAGCUCGUGUCGUGAGAUGUUCGGUUAAGUCCGCUAACGAGCGCAACCCGCGCUGUGUGUUACAAG